AAACCAUGAUGAGGGCACUUUCUUAAUAAAUCCUUAUAUCUCUCUCGUGCAUCAUAAAGUGUUUCUAAAUCCAUCUACACAAAAGAGGAGAUAUCAUUCCUCAAUUU
Molecule: non-coding RNA, 107 nt
Organism: Gossypium arboreum
Lineage: Eukaryota; Viridiplantae; Streptophyta; Magnoliopsida; Malvales; Malvaceae
Source: Rfam